This 408-nucleotide ribosomal RNA is filed under the name uncultured bacterium. RNAcentral's name for it is "partial 16S ribosomal RNA". It matches the Rfam family "Bacterial small subunit ribosomal RNA", at positions 28 to 526 of the family's 1533-position model. The record is from RNAcentral.
GACGAACGCUGGCGGCGUGCUUAACACAUGCAAGUCGAACGAAGUGGCGAACGGGUGAGUAACGCGUAAUCAACCUGCCCUUCAGAGGGGGACAACAGUUGGAAACGACUGCUAAUACCGCAUACUGAAGGAGGGGAUUGCGUCUGAUUAGCUAGUUGGAGGGGUAACGGCCCACCAAGGCGAUGAUCCGUCGCCGGUCUGGAGAGAUGGACGGCCACCAUGGGACUGGGACACGGCCCAGACUUCUACGGGGAGCAGCCGUGGGGGAACUUCCGAAAUGGACGAAAGUCUGACGGAGCAACGCCGCGGGAGUGAUGACAGCCUUCGGGUUGUAAAGCUCUGUUAAUCGGGACGCGGUACCGGAAUAGAAAGCCACGGCUAACUACGUGCCAGCCGCCGCGGUAAUAC